This 294-nucleotide ribosomal RNA is filed under the name uncultured Vexilliferidae. RNAcentral describes it as "partial Bacterial large subunit ribosomal RNA". The stretch from base 132 to 212 matches the Rfam family "Archaeal large subunit ribosomal RNA", at positions 164 to 244 of the family's 2987-position model. The record is from RNAcentral. Lineage: Eukaryota; Discosea; Flabellinia; Dactylopodida; Vexilliferidae.
AUAAGUAUUUAAAGGAUAUCUUGGUUUUAUGUUUUAAGGACGUAUUAAAUGCGAAAAGUUAAAGGUAAAUGAAAAAUUUGUAAUCUUUAAAUUUCCAAAGAUAAAUCAAUAUUAAUUUAAUUAAUAAAAUUACGUAGUGAACUGAAACAUCUAAGUAACUAUAGGAAAAAAAAUCAAUAGAGAUUUUGUGAGUAGUGGUGAGCGAAAGUAAAAUAAAGCCUUUUUAAUAUUAUUUAUAAAAAUUUUUUUUUAAUAUUUGAUGAAACAAUAACAAAAAAAGGUGUAAGUCCUGUA